UGCAAAGGUGCUUCUUGGAGUUGCAAUGACU
RNAcentral lists this non-coding RNA (31 nucleotides) under Mus musculus (house mouse). Lineage: Eukaryota; Metazoa; Chordata; Mammalia; Rodentia; Muridae. The record is from RNAcentral.